GAUGAAGAACGUAGCGAAAUGCGAUAAGUAAUGUGAAUUGCAGAAUUCAGUGAAUCAUCGAAUCUUUGAACGCACCUUGCACCCUUUGGCAUUCCGAAGGGUAUGCUCGUUUGAGUGUCAUUGUACUCUCACUCUCCCGAUACUUUUGGAUCGGGAGUGGUGGACUUGGGUACUGCUGCUUAACUGUGGCUCGCCUUAAAUGAAGUAGUGCAACUCUCGGUUGGACAUAGUACGGCGUGAUAAGUGUCUUCGCCGGCGCCUCAUUCGAGGGUGGCCGAUCGGGAGCUCUGUGCUUCAAACUGUCUUCGGACAACAUCUGACAACUUGACCUCAAAUCGAGUAGGACUACCCGCUGAACUUAAGCAUAUCAAUAAGCGGAGGA
Molecule: unclassified non-coding RNA, 382 nt
Filed under: soil metagenome
Description: partial contains 5.8S ribosomal RNA, internal transcribed spacer 2, and large subunit ribosomal RNA
Rfam family: 5.8S ribosomal RNA (bases 1-120)
Source: RNAcentral